AUGUGCAUGAGCAAACAAGAUGGUGGAAUGGGCUUCCGGGACAUGGAGGCUUUCAAUCAAGCGUUGCUUGCAAAGCAAGCUUGGAGGAUUUUGCAAGUCCCUUCCUCCCUCUGUGCUUGGGUUCUCAAGUCCAGGUACUUCAAAGAUGGAUCAAUACUUAAUGCAACUUGCCCGAGUGGUGGGUCAUAUACUUUCCGUAGUAUUGUGCAUGGU
RNAcentral lists this ribosomal RNA (213 nucleotides) under Triticum aestivum (bread wheat). Its description in RNAcentral is "partial small subunit ribosomal RNA". Lineage: Eukaryota; Viridiplantae; Streptophyta; Magnoliopsida; Poales; Poaceae. The record is from RNAcentral.